This is a long non-coding RNA of Gavialis gangeticus (Gharial), 1384 nucleotides long. RefSeq lists it as uncharacterized. NCBI's taxonomy places the organism in Eukaryota, Metazoa, Chordata, Crocodylia, Gavialidae. The record is from RefSeq and is a predicted model, not a curated record. The transcript is spliced from 2 exons.
CACAGAAACACAAGACAUUCAAAAGUUAAAGACUCAUUAUCAGGGAUGCAAAAAUGUGGCUAAAAUAAUGUUGAAUCCAUAACUUUUGCAUAUUCCAACUCUUUGUGCUUUGAACUGUUUAAUAUUAACAAUGUGUUGACAUAUUUUUUUUUCUUUUUUGUUUCAGGUCUCUGUAAAAGAAGAAAGUGAAAAUAAAAACUGUUAAACAGCUUCCAAGUUCUGAUGGCUUCCCAAGCAUAUAGUUGUAAAUUACUUGAACCAGCCAGUGUGCUCUUUAUUACCUGUCCACCCAUGAAGAGUGCAUCUAUGUUUAAGUGCACCCCUGCAGAUUUAAGGACAUUUUUCUGCUGUACAUGCAUAGUAUGCAAUUUUCAAGUGGUCGUAUCUUUGUUAAAUCAAAACCAAUUAUUUACAAACUGAGCAACCCCACUGUUCCUGUGUCAAGUUUCAAACAGGAGCUGUUUUCCAGAGCCACGUUCAAUUAUCAAUGCAUAGAAUUUUUCCUAUGAUGGGAUAGAUGUGUUUUUCCCUGUAACUCAGAAGCAACAGGAGGAAGUUUACUUACAAACUCUUUUUGGUAAGAUUCAAGCAAGAAGUGAUUUAGCCUCUAAAGAGAUAUGAUUCUGGCAUCUCUGGAAAGGUGGAAAAGGGACUUACAGCUGAAACUGUUAAGCAAUUUUAACUAUAGCCAUCACUAUCAACGAUUGUUAUUAAUGUGGCAUUGAUUGUUGUGUGAUAUAUUAUGGGAUUUUCCAUAUAACAUAAAGUAUAGAGUAAAAAAAACCUCUUAAAGUUUGCCUUCAUAAAAGGGUUAAGAUGUCAGAAUAUGUAUACAAAGAGAAGAGUGGGUUUGUCUUCAGAAUCAAAAGACUGUCUCUGGGACAUGGCCUUUUACUGUAACUUUUUUGGAAAGCAUAGACAGUUUGUCUACUGGUAUUCCUCAACCCUGAACUGAAAGUCAUUAAUGAGGGUAAAAAGCAUAGCUUACUUCCAAUGCUUUGUUCAGCUUCUCAUGUCAUUGCUAAACACCACCAGUCAUAACGGUGUUACUGUAAUGCAGACAGAAGUUCAUGUAGGAAAAAAUACUAAACACACUAUUUGAUGCUCACAAAUUAUGAUGAUGCACGUAGUAUAAAAAACUAGGUAGGUAGGAGUCAGUUUCUGCAGUCUGAGUACGUUAAUGGUCAGAGGACACAAUUUUGUGUUUCUACAAACCUGGCCAUAAUUGGCAUUUGUAGUAGUUGCCAUGGUUAUUGUUGUUAUAAUUAAAACAACAACAACAACAAUAAUAGGAUGUGUGACUCCUGUCUCCAUCUGUAUCUGUUAUUGGGAUCAAUGAAAAUUGCUUCUGAUUUUUGGAAAUGUUUGACUGACAAUGGCAAAA